Molecule: ribosomal RNA, 254 nt
Filed under: uncultured bacterium
Lineage: Bacteria
Description: partial 16S ribosomal RNA
Rfam family: Bacterial small subunit ribosomal RNA
Source: RNAcentral
UACGGGGGGAGCAAGCGUUGUUCGGAUUUACUGGGCGUAAAGGGCGCGUAGGCGGCCACCGCAAGUCGACUGUGAAAUCUCCGGGCUUAACCCGGAAAGGUCAGCCGAUACUGCGGGGCUAGAGUGCAGAAGGGGCAACUGGAAUUCUCGGUGUAGCGGUGAAAUGCGUAGAUAUCGAGAGGAACACCUGCGGCGAAGGCGGCAUCCUGGACCGGCAUUGACGCUGAGGAGCGAAAGCCAGGGGAGCAAACGGG